GACGAACGCUGGCGGCGUGCUUAACACAUGCGAGUCGAACGGAAAGGCCCUGCUUUUGUGGGGUGCUCGAGUGGCGAACGGGUGAGUAACACGUGAGUAACCUGCCCUUGACUUUGGGAUAACUUCAGGAAACUGGGGCUAAUACCGGAUAGGAGCUCCUGCUGCAUGGUGGGGGUUGGAAAGUUUCGGCGGUUGGGGAUGGACUCGCGGCUUAUCAGCUUGUUGGUGGGGUAGUGGCUUACCAAGGCUUUGACGGGUAGCCGGGCUGAGAGGGUGACCGGCCACAUUGGGACUGAGAUACGGCCCAGACUCAUACGGGAGGCAGCAGUGGGGAAUAUUGCACAAUGGGCGGAAGCCUGAUGCAGCAACGCCGCGUGCGGGAUGACGGCCUUCGGGUUGUAAACCGCUUUCGCCUGUGACGAAGCGUGAGUGACGGUAAUGGGUAAAGAAGCACCGGCUAACUACGUG
This 468-nucleotide ribosomal RNA is filed under the name uncultured bacterium. Its description in RNAcentral is "partial 16S ribosomal RNA". It matches the Rfam family "Bacterial small subunit ribosomal RNA", at positions 28 to 507 of the family's 1533-position model. The record is from RNAcentral.